AUCACUUGUGAUGAUCAAAACAAUACUUUCGUUAUUAUGAAACUUUAGAUGUAAAAAAACUUUGGAGACCUAAAGUGAGGAGAU
Cryptomeria japonica (Japanese cedar) is the source of this 84-nucleotide small nucleolar RNA. RefSeq annotates it as small nucleolar RNA Z159/U59. The record is from RefSeq and is a predicted model, not a curated record. The transcript has a single exon. NCBI's taxonomy places the organism in Eukaryota, Viridiplantae, Streptophyta, Pinopsida, Cupressales, Cupressaceae.